Molecule: ribosomal RNA, 415 nt
Filed under: uncultured eukaryote
Lineage: Eukaryota
Description: SSU rRNA
Rfam family: Eukaryotic small subunit ribosomal RNA
Source: RNAcentral
CAAUAGCGUAUAUUUAAGUUGUUGCAGUUAAAAGCUCGUAGUUGGAUUUCGGUUGAGAGCGGCCGGUCCGCCGUUUGGUGUGCACUGGCUGGUCUCAACUUCCUGCGGAGGACGCGCUCUGGGCUUAACGGUCUGGACGUGGAGUCCGCGUGGUUACUUUGAAAAAUUAGAGUGUUCAAAGCGGGCUUACGCUUGAAUAUUUCAGCAUGGAAUAACACUAUAGGACUCCUGUCCUAUUUCGUUGGUCUCGGGACGGGAGUAAUGAUUAAGAGGAACAGUUGGGGGCAUUCGUAUUAACGCGUCAGAGGUGGAAUUCUUAGAUUGCGUUACGACGAACUACUGCGAAAGCAUUUGCCAAGGAUGUUUUCAUUGAUCAAGAACGAAAGUAUGGGGAUCGAAGACGAUCAGAUACCGU